GACAGAGGAGGCGAGCGUUAUCCGGAGUUAUUGGGCGUAAAGCGUACGUAGGCGGCUGGUCAAGUCUGGGGUUAAAGACCACAGCUUAACUGUGGGGGGGACUUGGAAACUGACCGGCUGGAGUGGGGCAGGGGUUGCGGGAAUUCCCGGUGUAGCGGUGAAAUGCGUAGAGAUCGGGAAGAACACCUGAGGCGAAAGCGCGCAACUGGGCCCUAACUGACGCUGAGGUACGAAAGCUAGGGGAGCGAAUGGG
RNAcentral lists this ribosomal RNA (253 nucleotides) under uncultured bacterium. RNAcentral describes it as "partial 16S ribosomal RNA". It matches the Rfam family "Bacterial small subunit ribosomal RNA", at positions 524 to 776 of the family's 1533-position model. The record is from RNAcentral.